GCGGUAGUGGUGGAAUUGGUAGACACGCUAGCUUGAGGUGCUAGUGGGAGAGAUCUUGUGCUGGUUCGAGUCCAGUCUACCGCA
RNAcentral lists this transfer RNA (84 nucleotides) under Sphaerochaeta sp. RNAcentral describes it as "tRNA-Leu". It matches the Rfam family "tRNA". From Rfam's summary of the family: Transfer RNA (tRNA) molecules are approximately 80 nucleotides in length. The record is from RNAcentral. Lineage: Bacteria; Pseudomonadati; Spirochaetota; Spirochaetia; Spirochaetales; Sphaerochaetaceae. RNAcentral also lists the same sequence under 2 other names.